This 432-nucleotide ribosomal RNA is filed under the name uncultured bacterium. RNAcentral's name for it is "partial 16S ribosomal RNA". It matches the Rfam family "Bacterial small subunit ribosomal RNA", at positions 29 to 506 of the family's 1533-position model. The record is from RNAcentral.
AACGAACGCUGGCGGCAUGCCUAACACAUGCAAGUCGAACGAGACCUUCGGGUCUAGUGGCGCACGGGUGCGUAACGCGUGGGAACCUGCCCUUAGGUUCGGAAUAACUCCCCGAAAGGGGUGCUAAUACCGGAUAAUGUCUUCGGACCAAAGAUUUAUCGCCUUUGGAUGGGCCCGCGUUGGAUUAGCUAGUUGGUAGGGUAAAAGCCUACCAAGGCGACGAUCCAUAGCUGGUCUGAGAGGAUGAUCAGCCACACUGGGACUGAGACACGGCCCAGACUCCUACGGGAGGCAGCAGGGGGGAAUAUUGGACAAUGGGCGAAAGCCUGAUCCAGCAAUGCCGCGUGAGUUAUGAAGGCCUUAGGGUUGUAAAGCUUUUUUCCCCGGGAUGAUAAUGACAGGACCGGGAGAAUAAGCCCCGGCUAACUCCGU